GACGAACGCUGGCGGCGUGCUUAACACAUGCAAGUCGAACGGUAAGGCCCUUCGGGGUACACGAGUGGCGAACGGGUGAGUAACACAUGGGUGAUCUGCCCUGCACUUCGGGAUAAGCCUGGGAAACUGGGUCUAAUACCGGAUAGGACCACUGCCUGCAUGGGUGGUGGUGGAAAGCUUUUGCGGUGUGGGAUGGGCCCGCGGCCUAUCAGCUUGUUGGUGGGGUGAUGGCCUACCAAGGCGACGACGGGUAGCCGGCCUGAGAGGGUGACCGGCCACACUGAGACUGAGAUACGGCCCAGACUCCUACGGGAGGCAGCAGUGGGGAAUAUUGCACAAUGGGCGCAAGCCUGAUGCAGCGACGCCGCGUGAGGGAUGACGGCCUUCGGGUUGUAAACCUCUUUCAGCACCGACGAAGCGCAAGUGACGGUAGGUGCAGAAGAAGGACCGGCCAACUACGUGCCAGCCGCCGCAGUAG
RNAcentral lists this ribosomal RNA (478 nucleotides) under uncultured bacterium. RNAcentral describes it as "partial 16S ribosomal RNA". It matches the Rfam family "Bacterial small subunit ribosomal RNA", at positions 28 to 523 of the family's 1533-position model. The record is from RNAcentral.